UACGAAGGGGGCUAGCGUUGCUCGGAAUUAUUGGGCGUAAAGCGCACGUAGGCGGCUUUGCAAGUCGGAUGUGAAAUCCCUCGGCUCAACCAAGGAAGUGCAUCCGAAACUGCAGAGCUUGAGUACUUAAGAGGAUCGCGGAAUUCCCGGUGUAGAGGUGAAAUUCGUAGAUAUCGGGAGGAACACCAGUGGCGAAGGCGGCGAUCUGGGAAGAUACUGACGCUGAGGUGCGAAAGCGUGGGGAGCAAACAGG
RNAcentral lists this ribosomal RNA (253 nucleotides) under uncultured bacterium. Its description in RNAcentral is "partial 16S ribosomal RNA". It matches the Rfam family "Bacterial small subunit ribosomal RNA", at positions 524 to 776 of the family's 1533-position model. The record is from RNAcentral.